This 70-nucleotide transfer RNA is filed under the name Cardiocondyla obscurior. RNAcentral's name for it is "tRNA-Ala". Lineage: Eukaryota; Metazoa; Arthropoda; Insecta; Hymenoptera; Formicidae. The record is from RNAcentral.
UGGAUAUUAGUUUAAUUUAAAACUUUUAAAUUGCAUUUAAAUAAUUAUUUAAUAAAAUAAAUAUAUCUAA